CCUACGGGAGGCAGCAGUGGGGAAUUUUGGACAAUGGACGCAAGUCUGAUCCAGCCAUGCCGCGUGUGGGAAGAAGGCCUUCGGGUUGUAAACCACUUUUGUCAGGGAAGAAACGGCUCGGGUUAAUACCUUGGGCUAAUGACGGUACCUGAAGAAUAAGCACCGGCUAACUACGUGCCAGCAGCCGCGGUAAUACGUAGGGUGCAAGCGUUAAUCGGAAUUACUGGGCGUAAAGCGUGCGCAGGCGGUUAUGCAAGACAGAUGUGAAAUCCCCGGGCUCAACCUGGGAACUGCAUUUGUGACUGCAUGGCUAGAGUACGGUAGAGGGGGAUGGAAUUCCGCGUGUAGCAGUGAAAUGCGUAGAUAUGCGGAGGAACACCGAUGGCGAAGGCAAUCCCCUGGACCUGUACUGACGCUCAUGCACGAAAGCGUGGGGAGCAAACAGGAUUAGAUACCCUGGUAUCCACGCCCUAAACGAUGUACACUGGUUGUGGGUAGGUUUCUUCUCAGUAACGUAGCUAACGCGUGAGUUCGACCGCGUGGGGAGGACGGCCGCGUAAGGUAGUAACGUUACGAAAGUAAGUUAGUUAGGCGAGAGACGNGCGACGGACGACGACGAGGGAGGAGG
Molecule: ribosomal RNA, 628 nt
Filed under: uncultured bacterium
Lineage: Bacteria
Description: bacterial SSU rRNA
Rfam family: Bacterial small subunit ribosomal RNA (bases 1-540)
Source: RNAcentral